Molecule: ribosomal RNA, 789 nt
Filed under: Haptophyta environmental samples
Lineage: Eukaryota; Haptophyta
Description: eukaryotic LSU rRNA
Rfam family: Eukaryotic large subunit ribosomal RNA
Source: RNAcentral
CCGCCCCGAAUUGUAGUCUAGAAAGGCGCCAUCGGCCGCGCCCGCCGCUCAAAUCCCUUGGAACAGGGUAUCGGAGAAGGUGAGAAUCCUGUACCGUGGCGGAUCGCGGCCGCACGAUGCGCCCUUGCAGAGUCGGGUUGCUUGGGAUUGCAGCUUGAAGUGGGUGGUAAAUUCCAUCUAAAGCUAAAUACUGGCUCAUGACCGAUAGCGAACAAGUACCGUGAGGGAAAGAUGCAAAGAACUUUGAAAAGAGAGUUAAAGAGUGCUUGAAAUCGGAGUGAGGAAACCCGUUUGCACCCGGUUUCGCGCCGUCGACUCAGCCGUCUCGAAGCGGUGCACUUUGUCGGCGCGGGUCCUGCGCGUCUAAGCUGCCGCUCACACUUUGUCGGGGGGGCUUCGGUGAGCCCGGCUCUUUGUGUGGCGUUUGGCCUCGCCGGACGUAACGGGUGCAACCGACCCGUCUAGAAACACGGACCAAGGAGUCUGACACGGAUGCGAGUACCCGGGUGGCAAGCCCGUGUGCGCAAUGAAAGUGAAGGGCGUGCCCCGCCAACCGACCUUGAUCUUCUGUGAAGGGUUUGAGUGGAGCAUCACUGUCGGGACCCGAAAGAUGGUGAACUAUGCCUGAGGAGGUUGAAGUCUGCCGAAAGGCAGAUGGAGGGCCGUAGCGAUACUGACGUGCAAAUCGUUCGUCGAACUUGGGUAUAGGGGCGAAAGACUAAUCGAACCAUCUAGUAGCUGGUUCCCUCCGAAGUUUCCCUCAGGAUAGCUUGGACGCAAGGGUUUUGU